AACGAACGCUGGCGGCAGGCUUAACACAUGCAAGUCGAGCGCCUCGCAAGAGGAGCGGCAGACGGGUGAGUAACGCGUGGGAACGUACCCUUAUCUUCGGAAUAGCUCUGGGAAACUGGAAGUAAUACCGAAUGUGCCCUUAGGGGGAAAGAUUUAUCGGAUAAGGAUCGGCCCGCGUUGGAUUAGCUAGUUGGUGGGGUAAAGGCCUACCAAGGCGACGAUCCAUAGCUGGUCUGAGAGGAUGAUCAGCCACAUUGGGACUGAGACACGGCCCAAACUCCUACGCGAGGCAGCAGUGGGGAAUAUUGGACAAUGGGCGCAAGCCUGAUCCAGCCAUGCCGCGUGAGUGAUGAAGGCCUUAGGGUUGUAAAGCUCUUUCACCGGAGAAGAUAAUGACGGUAUCCGGAGAAGAAGCCCCGGCUAGCUUCGUG
RNAcentral lists this ribosomal RNA (431 nucleotides) under uncultured bacterium. Its description in RNAcentral is "partial 16S ribosomal RNA". It matches the Rfam family "Bacterial small subunit ribosomal RNA", at positions 29 to 507 of the family's 1533-position model. The record is from RNAcentral.